GGAAGGAUCAUUCCUAGUCAGGUGUCGUGCGUGUGUGUGGGUGUAGGCGUGUCGAGGGUUCGCCCAAGGCAUGCAUGCUCCCGCGCGCGCGCACACACACACCAUCCUAUCCAUCCCAUCCUGUGUUGUUGACCGCCGAGGUGUGCGCAUGUGGCGAGUCUGGCUGGCGCCUGUCAUGGGUGUCGGUCAUUCAAAGUCGAGGUAGACGAGGGUUUACCAACAUGCGCAUGCUGACGUGGAUAUUUUUUCAUUCAAACCCCAGACCCAAUGCUGACUGAAUGUGACUUUGUGUGUGGUGUGUUUGCCAAUGGUGGUGGUGGUGGGAUUUCCCCAUCAUCAUCAUCAGCAACAUCCUUGUGUAUCAAUAUAACAGUAUAUUAAAACAACUGUUGACAACGGAUCACUCGGCUCUCGUGUCGAUGAAGAGCGUAGCGAAUUGCGAAAACUAGUGCGAUUUGCAUCCAUCGUGAAUCAUCGAGUCCUUGAACGCAACUUGCACCGCAAGGGUCUUCCUUGCGGUCUGCCUGUUUGAGUAUUGACUGACUCUACCCUCGGGCUCAUUGACGUGUGUGCUUGCAUGCAUGUCGGUGGUAGGCUCGGAUCGUGACUGGCCGCUUGAUGCGCGCGUGGUGUCGCUUGCGGCUCCCUGUGUGUGUAUGAGUGACCGGUUGAAAUGCAUUGGCCUUUAUGCCACUCCUGUGAUGUGACGCGUGUGUGUGUGCGUGUGGUGCUUGACGUCAAGUGUCGUGUGCUUUGCCGGGCGUUCGUGCGUGCGUGUCAUCUAUCUCCAACUCAUGUUUUCCGUGAAUGCUUGGUCUUCCCGCGAGGGAGGGUCAUUCAUCCUUGCUAGCAUGGGCGAGAGAGAGAGAGAGCGAGUACGUGCAUCUAUGUCCUUUAUGUGCGAGUCAUGGCAUGUCGAGUAUAUAUCACUAUCAUAUAUAUCGCCCACAACACGGGGGAUGGCAGUCUGCAAGCGAGCGAGGCAGGCCAGCAACGGCGAGGGUCGGGUGACGUGGCAUUCGUGCCGCGCCCACCCACCCAACCCAACCCCCAUACCUAUCAAUGCAAUCUCAAAUCAGGCAGGAUGACCCGCUGAACUUAAGCAUAUCAAUAAGCGGAGGAAAAGAAACCAACAGGGAUUCCCCUAGUAACGGCGAGUGAAGCGGGAAGAGCUCAAAUUUGAAAUCGGAACGGCAAGCGCUGGAUCUGAAUUGUAGUUUGAUGAGGCGUGUCUUGCGGCUGGUCCAGGUCCAAAUCCCUUGGAAUGGGGUACCAUGGAGGGUGAAAGUCCCGUCUAUGGCCUGCGAGAACCGGUUGUGUUGUAGCGCGUCCUCGGAGAGUCGGGUUGUUUGGGAAUGCAGCCCAAAGCGGGUGGUAAACUCCAUCUAAGGCUAAAUACUGGCGAGAGACCGAUAGCGAACAAGUACCGUGAGGGAAAGUUGAAAAGCACUCUGAAGAGAGAGUCAAACAGUACGUGAAAUUGUCAACAGGGAAACGAUGGGCUCCAGUACGUGUCCGGGUGGAAUCAGGCGUGUGCGGGGGCUGGUGUGCGCGGGGUUGUCAGCUGCUAGCGCGGCGACGCCCCGUGUGCGUGAUCCGGCUUCGGCGGCGCUGUACUUUGGCCCGGACAGGUCAACAUCAGUUGCGACUGCGUGCAAGAACGGACCCGGGACGGUAGCCAUGCGCUUUGCGGUGCGUGGCACUUAUAGCCCGGGCUGCGGCGGUGCGUGCGCGACUGAGGCAGCAGAGAGGAUCGACGCGUCAAUGCCAGGGCUUCCUUGCGGAGCACUGGUGGAUGCAGGUCGGCCGUGGCAGGGUGUGGGCGCGCGAGCAAGACAGCCUGGCUGAUUUGUUCGUUGCUGCCUGCUCCCUCUCAUGUCGCGGUGCGGACACUAGCUCGGUCACUGACGGUUGACGAAAUGGAGUUCAACGACCCGUCUUGAAACACGGACCAAGGAGUCUAACAUGGGUGCGAGUGUUUGGGCGUGGAAAACCCGGACGCGGAAUGAAAGUGAGCCCGUUGUGGCUGGGCAGGACGUUGGUGUGGCUCGCGAUCUCUUUUGGUUGCGGCGCCCGACUGCACUGUCGACCGACCGUUGGUUCGCGUGACCUUCGGAUUGCGUCUGAGCAUCCCUGUUGGGACCCGAAAGAUGGUGAACUAUGCUUGAGUAGGACGAAGCCAGAGGAAACUCUGGUGGAGGUCCGUAGCGGUUCUGACGUGCAAAUCGAUCGUCAAACUUGAGUAUAGGGGCGAAAGACUAAUCGAACCAUCUAGUAGCUGGUUCCCGC
RNAcentral lists this unclassified non-coding RNA (2289 nucleotides) under uncultured fungus. Its description in RNAcentral is "sequence contains 18S rRNA gene, ITS1, 5.8S rRNA gene, ITS2, 28S rRNA gene". The stretch from base 1066 to 2289 matches the Rfam family "Eukaryotic large subunit ribosomal RNA", at positions 1 to 961 of the family's 3401-position model. Lineage: Eukaryota; Fungi. The record is from RNAcentral.